UGGGCUCUUAAGUGAUGUGAGAAAUAGCGCUUGUCUUUGGCGAUACCCAGUGAGCCCGCGCGCUGCAGCGGGCGGCGCCUUUUUAGCAAUCGUGGAAGGGGAGGAACAGCAGGGAUCUUCUCAACCCCACGUUUACACUGGCUGUUGCUUGAAAAGCAAAGUGACCCCCAGUGCUAAAACUGAUGUUACUUAAACAUGGUUCACCGUGAAGCUGGACUCACCCACCCAUGCAGCGGCGGCGGCUGCUGGACCGGUCGACUGACACUGAUGUGAAAAUCCGCAGCAUCAAAGCAGGCUCCGUAGACGCAGCCAGGGCAAAGGGACGGCGCUCGUUCCUGUUCUGUAAAUCUCCGCAGGGACACGUAAAUGCUGCACUGCCUUCACCCUGGAGUCUGGUGACCGUCGAGAGGAUACAGCUGACACCUUUGAUUUUCCCUUCCCUUCAAGAAAGGUUGAUAAAGCAACGAAACGAAAGAAGCAAAAGGACGUUUAAUAGCGCCACACAAGUUUUCACAUGGCUGUUCUUCUCCAAAAGGAUAGUCUACAAGUCCUGGAUAAAAAAGAGUGAGAAAGGAGGAGGAGGUCUCAUGUAGAAAAUCAUGGAGUAAUUCAUGAUUUUCGACUUCUAAAUAAAGUCUAAAGUCUGGCUUAGAGUCUGGAAAGUAAUUGCAAAAAUGCUGGAGGAAAAUGAGAAGUUCAGAAGUCGACUGUUGACUUGCAGUCAGUGUAAUGGAGAAGGCAGUGAUACGAACCAAAGUUCACAGAACGAGGCAACCUACCUGGACAGGGAGGAGUCCAUCUUUGGCUGGGUGUAGCAAGAAAAUAAAGGAAGAUUGAAUCUGACA
This 845-nucleotide long non-coding RNA is filed under the name Struthio camelus australis. Its description in RNAcentral is "lncRNA (ENSSCUG00000004649.1)". The record is from RNAcentral. Lineage: Eukaryota; Metazoa; Chordata; Aves; Struthioniformes; Struthionidae.